GUAGGUGGCAAGCGUUGUCCGGAAUUAUUGGGCGUAAAGCGCGCGCAGGCGGUUCUUUAAGUCUGAUGUGAAAGCCCACGGCUCAACCGUGGAGGGUCAUUGGAGACUGGAGAACUUGAGUACAGAAGAGGAAAGCGGAAUUCCACGUGUAGCGGUGAAAUGCGUAGAGAUGUGGAGGAACACCAGUGGCGAAGGCGGCUUUCUGGUCUGUAACUGACGCUGAGGCGCGAAAGCGUGGGGAGCAAACAGGAUUAGAUACCCUGGUAGUCCACGCCGUAAACGAUGAGUGCUAAGUGUUAGGGGGUUUCCGCCCCCCUUAGUGCUGCAGCUAACGCAUUAAGCACUCCGCCUGGGAGUACGGCCGCAAGGCUG
Molecule: ribosomal RNA, 372 nt
Filed under: uncultured organism
Description: partial 16S ribosomal RNA
Rfam family: Bacterial small subunit ribosomal RNA
Source: RNAcentral